UACGUAGGGUGCAAGCGUUGUCCGGAAUUAUUGGGCGUAAAGCGCGCGCAGGCGGUCAUUUAAGUCUGGUGUUUAAUCCUGGGGCUCAACUCCGGGUCGCACUGGAAACUGGGUGACUUGAGUGCAGAAGAGGAGAGUGGAAUUCCACGUGUAGCGGUGAAAUGCGUAGAGAUGUGGAGGAACACCAGUGGCGAAGGCGACUCUCUGGGCUGUAACUGACGCUGAGGCGCGAAAGCGUGGGGAGCAAACAGG
Molecule: ribosomal RNA, 252 nt
Filed under: uncultured bacterium
Lineage: Bacteria
Description: partial 16S ribosomal RNA
Rfam family: Bacterial small subunit ribosomal RNA
Source: RNAcentral